AGAGGGAUAGCUGGGUCAAAGGGUGGUUCCAUUCCCAGCUUUCCAAGGAAUCUCCAUACUGCUUUCCAAAUUGGCUGUACCAAUUUGCAGUUCCACCAGCAGU
RNAcentral lists this microRNA precursor (103 nucleotides) under Marmota monax (woodchuck). The record is from RNAcentral. Lineage: Eukaryota; Metazoa; Chordata; Mammalia; Rodentia; Sciuridae.